RNAcentral lists this ribosomal RNA (253 nucleotides) under uncultured prokaryote. Its description in RNAcentral is "partial 16S ribosomal RNA". It matches the Rfam family "Bacterial small subunit ribosomal RNA", at positions 525 to 777 of the family's 1533-position model. The record is from RNAcentral.
ACGGAGGGGGCUAGCGUUGUUCGGAAUUACUGGGCGUAAAGCGCACGUAGGCGGCUUUGCAAGUUAGAGGUGAAAGCCCAGGGCUUAACCCUGGAAUUGCCUUUAAAACUGCAUCGCUAGAAUCGUGGAGAGGUAAGUGGAAUUCCGAGUGUAGAGGUGAAAUUCGUAGAUAUUCGGAAGAACACCAGUGGCGAAGGCGACUUACUGGACACGUAUUGACGCUGAGGUGCGAAAGCGUGGGGAGCAAACAGGA